Molecule: ribosomal RNA, 253 nt
Filed under: uncultured bacterium
Lineage: Bacteria
Description: partial 16S ribosomal RNA
Rfam family: Archaeal small subunit ribosomal RNA
Source: RNAcentral
UACCAGCACCCCGAGUGGUCGGGACGAUUAUUGGGCCUAAAGCAUCCGUAGCCGGUACUGCAAGUCUUCCGUUAAAUCCACCUGCUCAACAGUUGGGCUGCGGAGGAUACUACAGCGCUAGGAGGCGGGAGAGGCAAGCGGUACUCAUUGGGUAGGGGUAAAAUCCACUGAUCCAUUGAAGACCACCAGUGGCGAAGGCGGCUCACUGGUCCAUUACUGACGCUGAGGUGCGAAAGCGUGGGGAGCGAACGGG